AGGUGGCUGCAGAUUCCCCGACCCCAGGACAGAACCUUCUGACUCUCCGGCUGAUGCGGGCGACUCCCCGGACAAGCUGAUAAAACUUUUGUAUGCUAAGAGGCAACCCCGAGCCCGAACCCCGAACAACCCUUCCCCACCACCCAAAAAAAAACAGGCCCUGGAACUGAACGGGAGAUCUUCCAAUUGAAAUUAUGCAGAUCUAUUUCUCCUUGGGGCACAUACGACAUUUGAUUAUCCGUGGAUGCUUAUAAAAGCUGCAACAUGCCACGAAACAGCUGCAAAUAUGCCUUUAGCACGGAUUUCGUACCUGAGAAUGAUGAUCAUAAUUGUAGAAUAAAGAUUGUGGAUUAAGAUGGGAAAGAGAUGGCCGUUUGGUAUUACAGUGUUAAAGUAGGCUCCAAGAAGAUCAACAGGCGAAAGUACAAAAAAAAUCUCCAGUUAAUCUGUUGAAACGGCAGCUGUUGGCUUUUGGAGUUUUGAAGCGUCACCUUUGACAUGUCCCUUUUCAAUCAAGACAGACCUUCAGCAACUGACCACUACAAGCCCCAUAAAAAGAAAAGCAAGAAGACGCCUGCUCAAGAUGCUGCUAAAUUUACCCUUAAGAGUCUUUUCAGCGAUUUGUUGGAUUAUCUAAUGCCGGCCUUUAGAUCCUAGCCACUACCCUUUUGAUUUCAAAUAUGUGUUUUCUCCUCAUCCUGUACACCCCCACACCUCCCCAGAACAACAAAUACACAAACGUUGGCCGCAAUGCUUCUGGUCCAUUAAUAAUCACGUACACACGCUGGCACCUAGAGCAGCUUUAUUUCAUUAAACCAAUGAGUUAUAAUCAGGUCUUGUUGCAACCCAACGUUACAAAAUUCGCCAUUCUCCAAUUUGUUCUCUUAUUAAAGUUUUGUGUGGUUCUUCCUGGGUCAACUAAAAGUCGGACCUUUAGAAACGCAAAAGAAAUGCUCUGCACGUGUGCGAGUCCAACCUGUGCUAAUGUCAAUGCAUAAGUAAAUUAAUUUUGGGUUCUAAUAUUUCCAUGAAAUCGUAUUGACAGGGUUACAUAAAGGUCGUUUCGUCCAACUAUUUAUCGCAUCUAAUCUAUUGCAUUGACUAAGAUUCCACUGAAUUAACACAAUCAAUAAUCAGAAUAUAAGUUAUUAAUUGAUAAAACUGCUGAGGAAUAUUUGAAGCAUGACAAUAGCUUGAUAAAUCAUGGUUGUUCUUAAUAAUGAUUAUUUCAUUGUUGCCAGGAAUAUAUAGCAAAUGACUACUUGAAACAAAUAUUGUUUAAUGCUUCUGCUAAGAUAGCGGCUUAAUGAUAUAACUGAUGUAAUGUAUCCAUCACAGUGCUAAGUGGGGUUUGAUUAAACAGAUAAUAGUAAGGCUGCUGCUGCGAUGAUCUGUUUUAAAUUCUUUUCAUCUGUUUGCUAUUGAUGUUUUCCUGGCUAAUCGCAUUUUGCCAUGUCAUAAUUGCCAUCAUAGUAAUUUUGUUCUCCUGAAAUAUAACACCGAAUGAUUGAUUCCUUCUCACACUUACAUAUAUGUGUAUUAAUAUUAUAUAUGAGAAUUCUGAUACGUAAUUCGACGCUUGUUUCGUUUGCAUUCAUCAUUCGAUUCUCUCCCAUCCAAUCAAUUUGAUCAAUUUCUCGUAGAUCUGUACGAAUUCAAUCAAAUAUCAUAAUCUAUUAUGUCAUAAUUCCGUCCCUCCCGCGGCUCGCCUGCGAGAACAGGGCCACAUUUUCCAUACCCUUGUCUAGCCUCAUCCGUUAUUGUUAAUCGUAGAACAAUGGGCACAUCUGUCCCGUUUUUGCUUAGCACCUUAUCGGACCUGCGCCUGGAACAGCAACAGUAGCAUGUGUCACGCCGCGUCCCUUUUAGAAAUAAAACCAUUGUCUUUUAACACAUUUCAGCACCUCUGCGUUUUAAUUGUUUAGCCGGCAAGCGUUAACCUUUAGAGUUUUAAGGGGAAUCCAGUCCAUUAAGAGAAAACUAUUACUGACCUAAAAAUAGAUUGGUGGCUUGGAGUUUCUUUUCUCUUCCAUUUAAUUUGUUUGCCAAUUUUGUAGCACUGUGCUCGUCAGAAGUGACUUGUGUGGUUAAUUAAUUCUACAUCAUCACCUUUUGUUGGCCUAUCCAAGCUCAGUUUAUUGAUCAAACAUAUAUUAUACAAAUUUAGCUAAACAUGUUGCAACCAGUUUUUGACUGCACUUUACACCUGCUUCAUUUUGCCGGAAUAUCCAGCCGACAUGUUCGUCUCGCUGCUUUGCCUCGCUGCGAUGGAAACCCGGGGGUUUGUGUUUUUUUUAUCUUUACAAACCCUCUCGAUCCCAAACAAGGAGAUGGACCAAGGUCUGAUUUACAUCUUCAGCCCGAGGUUGCGGUGGAGCAUCACAUUAACCUAACGUUCCCCAAGGAACAAGAGCAAAACAAACUGGUUUCGGUGAUAUUUUACCCCCGAUUUCAAACGUGGGAUUAACAAUCGUGCAUUUGAGAAGAGAAUGGAUCUGGACAGGGAUAACCAGUACGGAGCAGUCUUCGUCCGGUGCGAUGCCCUCACUAAAAUAUCUCGGCUACCGAACAAUAUCGGGUCAGUUCUAAUGUGUUUCUGGUGAUCCUGUCCGCAUUCUGCAUCUAAUGUAUAACAAUGAAGCAAGCUAAAAAUAAAAUGAACA
Mobula hypostoma (lesser devil ray) is the source of this 2663-nucleotide long non-coding RNA. RefSeq lists it as uncharacterized. Lineage: Eukaryota; Metazoa; Chordata; Chondrichthyes; Myliobatiformes; Myliobatidae. The transcript has 3 exons. The record is from RefSeq and is a predicted model, not a curated record.